GACAGAGGGUGCAAACGUUGUUCGGAAUUACUGGGCGUAAAGCGCAUGUAGGCGGCUCGGAAAGUCGGAUGUGAAAGCCCAGGGCUCAACCCUGGAAGUGCACUCGAAACUCCCGAGCUGGAGUCCCGGAGAGGAAGGCGGAAUUCUCGGUGUAGAGGUGAAAUUCGUAGAUAUCGAGAGGAACACCUGUGGCGAAGGCGGCCUUCUGGACGGUGACUGACGCUGAGAUGCGAAAGCGUGGGGAGCAAACAGG
RNAcentral lists this ribosomal RNA (253 nucleotides) under uncultured bacterium. RNAcentral's name for it is "partial 16S ribosomal RNA". It matches the Rfam family "Bacterial small subunit ribosomal RNA", at positions 524 to 776 of the family's 1533-position model. The record is from RNAcentral. RNAcentral also lists the same sequence under 1 other name.